This 1709-nucleotide ribosomal RNA is filed under the name Agroathelia rolfsii. RNAcentral describes it as "bacterial LSU rRNA". The record is from RNAcentral. Lineage: Eukaryota; Fungi; Basidiomycota; Agaricomycetes; Amylocorticiales; Amylocorticiaceae.
ACUGGGGGUAGAGCACUGUUAAGCUAGGGGGUCAUCCCGACUUACCAACCCUUUGCAAACUCCGAAUACCAGUAAGUACUAUCCGGGAGACACACGGCGGGUGCUAACGUCCGUCGUGGAGAGGGAAACAACCCAGACCGCCAGCUAAGGUCCCAAAUUACUACUAAGUGGGAAACGAUGUGGGAAGGCUCAGACAGCCAGGAUGUUGGCUUAGAAGCAGCCAUCAUUUAAAGAAAGCGUAAUAGCUCACUGGUCGAGUCGGCCUGCGCGGAAGAUGUAACGGGGCUAAGUAGUAAACCGAAGCUGCGGCAAUGCACUUUAGUGCAUUGGGUAGGGGAGCGUUCUGUAAGCGGUUGAAGGUGUGUGGUAACGCAUGCUGGACGUAUCAGAAGUGCGAAUGCUGACAUGAGUAACGAUAAAGGGGGUGAAAAACCUCCUCGCCGGAAGACCAAGGGUUCCUGUCCAACGUUAAUCGGGGCAGGGURAGUCGACCCCUAAGGCGAGGCCGAAAGGCGUAGUCGAUGGGAAACGGGUUAAUAUUCCCGUACUUCUUACAAUUGCGAUGGGGGGACGGAGAAGGCUAGGUGGGCCUGGCGACGGUUGUCCAGGUUCAAGUGCGUAGGCUGUAAGAGUUAGGUAAAUCCGGUYUCUCUUAAGGCUGAGACACGAYGUCGAGCAUACUACGGURGUGAAGUCAUUGAUGCCAUGCUUCCAGGAAAAGCCUCUAAGCUUCAGAUUGUAAGGAAUCGUACCCCAAACCGACACAGGUGGUCGGGUAGAGAAUACCAAGGCGCUUGAGAGAACUCGGGUGAAGGAACUAGGCAAAAUGGUACCGUAACUUCGGGAGAAGGUACGCUCUUGAUCGGUGAAGAGACUUGCUCKHUGGAGCWGMYGRSAGUCGCAGAUACCAGGUGGCUGCAACUGUUUAUUAARAACACAGCACUGUGCAAAAUCGWAAGAUGACGUAUACGGUGUGACGCCUGCCCGGUGCCGGAAGGUUAAUUGAUGGGGUUAGACUUCGGUCGAAGCUCUUGAUCGAAGCCCCGGUAAACGGCGGCCGUAACUAUAACGGUCCUAAGGUAGCGAAAUUCCUUGUCGGGUAAGUUCCGACCUGCACGAAUGGCGUAAUGAUGGCCACGCUGUCUCCACCCGAGACUCAGUGAAAUUGAAAUCGCAGUGAAGAUGCUGUGUACCCGCGGCUAGACGGAAAGACCCCGUGAACCUUUACUAUAGCUUUACACUGGAUGCUGAUGUUGUCUGUGUAGGAUAGCUGGGAGGCUUUGAAACCACGUCGCCAGAUGCGGUGGAGCCAACCUUGAAAUACCAGCCUGACAUCAUUGGCGUUCUAACUCAGGUCCGUYAUCCGGAUCGAGGACAGUGUAUGGUGGGUAGUUUGACUGGGGCGGUCUCCUCCUAAAGAGUAACGGAGGAGCACGAAGGUACCCUCAGCACGGUUGGAAAUCGUGCAUUGAGUGCAAGAGCAUAAGGGUGCUUGACUGCGAGACAGACACGUCGAGCAGGUACGAAAGUAGGUUCUAGUGAUCCGGUGGUUCUGUAUGGAAGGGCCAUCGCUCAACGGAUAAAGGUACUCCGGGGAUAACAGGCUGAUACCGCCCAAGAGUUCACAUCGACGGCGGUGUUUGGCACCUCGAUGUCGGCUCAUCACAUCCUGGGGCUGAAGUCGGUCCCAAGGGUAUGGCUGUUCGCCA